This 68-nucleotide transfer RNA is filed under the name Marmota monax (woodchuck). Its description in RNAcentral is "tRNA.Ser". The stretch from base 5 to 65 matches the Rfam family "tRNA", at positions 6 to 65 of the family's 71-position model. From Rfam's summary of the family: Transfer RNA (tRNA) molecules are approximately 80 nucleotides in length. Their secondary structure includes four short double-helical elements and three loops (D, anti-codon, and T loops). Lineage: Eukaryota; Metazoa; Chordata; Mammalia; Rodentia; Sciuridae. The record is from RNAcentral.
GGAUUGUGGCUCAGUGGUAGAGCACUUGCCUAGAGUGUGCAAAGCCCUGAGUUCAAUUCUCAGCACCA